This 21-nucleotide non-coding RNA is filed under the name Caenorhabditis elegans. Lineage: Eukaryota; Metazoa; Nematoda; Chromadorea; Rhabditida; Rhabditidae. The record is from RNAcentral.
UUGUUUUACCAUUAUUUUAAA